This is a non-coding RNA of Pangasius djambal, 80 nucleotides long. The record is from the annotation of a GenBank genome assembly. Lineage: Eukaryota; Metazoa; Chordata; Actinopteri; Siluriformes; Pangasiidae.
GGCACGGUGGCUUAGUGGCUUAGUGGUUCGCACUGUUGCCUUGCACCUUCAGGUUGGGGGUUCAAAUCCCACCUCUGCCC